GUAUAAAAUUCAUCUUUUAUUCAACAUUCUAAAAUGACAGGGUGUUUUGUGUUUAGAUAGACCUGAAAUGAAAAAAAAAGGGAAAGCCGACUAGAAAAGAAGCGCAGCAGUCCCAAAAACUCGGUCUACAAUAUGUGCACAGUUGGAGAGAUAUAAAGAUGACAAGCGUGCACUUUGCCCCCCAAGGGACCAGCAACAGCCUGUUCAAGUUUAUUCGAUAAUGAUCCUUCCGCAGGUUCACCUACGGAAA
RNAcentral lists this unclassified non-coding RNA (250 nucleotides) under uncultured fungus. RNAcentral's name for it is "sequence contains ITS1". Lineage: Eukaryota; Fungi. The record is from RNAcentral.